Long non-coding RNA from Rhagoletis zephyria (snowberry fruit fly), 274 nucleotides. RefSeq lists it as uncharacterized. The record is from RefSeq and is a predicted model, not a curated record. Lineage: Eukaryota; Metazoa; Arthropoda; Insecta; Diptera; Tephritidae.
UGGUGUUCGAAACUGCUCGUACUUCAUAUCUUCGUUUACAAAAUAUUAAUGUAUCAGGCGCACAGGGUAGCCUAAUGGAUAACAGCAGCAAAAACACUCCAGGCCAUACAUACAUAUAUGCAUGCAAGUGCUACCGUGCCACGCGCAACACAUCAGAUGCAACUACAAUGAAGCUAGCGCCAAUAACAACAACGAAACCGUAAUGCAGUUGUUUGUUUUAUUUAUUGACUCGCCUGAUCAAACUGACUGAUUGCUAUUAAACAUGCACGAUUAA